RNAcentral lists this long non-coding RNA (3452 nucleotides) under Sorghum bicolor (sorghum). Its description in RNAcentral is "long non-coding RNA (SBIC_LNC010663)". The record is from RNAcentral. Lineage: Eukaryota; Viridiplantae; Streptophyta; Magnoliopsida; Poales; Poaceae.
CACCCAUCAUCCUUGGAAGACCGUUCCUCAGCACCGUUAAAGCAAUUAUCUACAUUGGAACCGAAGAAGUCCAUAUGCACUUCCCCUCAGAGAAGGUACGCCGUUAUUUUACUGACCCUAACUAUAUCGUUGAAGAAUCUAAGCAGGUAAGGAAAUGACGCAACCGCAACCAGAGGAUGCAAAUCAUCAAGGACGGAUGGGCAAACUACGAAGGAGAAGUUAUAAGGUCAGAAGACGUAGAGUUUAAACAGAAUUAUCCAGAGGAGACCGUAGCACCGAGUCAGGCAUGGAAAGAGAAGAUAACUAUACAUGAAGAGGAGGCGCUGCCGGAAGUACCGACUACGCCACCCAACGAAUCCCAGGACAAUUGAGAAAAAUGGAGAGUCCCGUUCGGAGGACUUAAAAACACCGAACGCCUUGCCAAAAGGUAAACUUGGUAGUUAUCAUUUUCCUUUCAAUUAUUUCAACUAGUUUACUUGUUAAUCAUGUUCGUGCUAUCCUAAAAAGAAAAUAAAAAUGUUGAAAACAGUGAGCCCCAUGUGAGUAGACGAGUGGCAUAAAACCCAUAAGUACAUUCACUGUGGUGGCAUAAAAAUAAUAUAAAUAUUUCUUUUCUGCUCUAUAAAAAUGAAAAUAUAAAAACAGGGAGUAAUAAUUAUUAAGGAGUCUCAACAUGAUAAAGGCUAGAUAUUUAUGCUAACACUUAACCAGUUCCACAAGCUUUGUUGUCUAUUUGAGCUCCACAGGAUUUAAGAAGCAGAUGGAGGACAUUCUAAUCGCUGUCAGAAUGCUGCUGACUUUCAAAUACACCUCUGCCACCUGCUAGCUACAUCAUGAGAAAUUACGUCAAAAUUCAGCUUGGGGGAGAGCACCCCCAUUUAUCCCGAUAAGUAUUUCUAUCUAUCUAUCUAUCUUUAUACUAAUAUUAUAUUAGAAUAUAAAUAUAUAAAACUAUGAAAAACCAAAUAAAGAUUUUGUGCUUAUAUAAAUAUAUGUCUUUCGCUUAUUGUGUUUAAUAAAUAAAUAAAGUGGCUAUACUAAUCUGUAUCUUAAUAAUAAAACUCAAGCAUGGAUAUGAUGAAUAGUUGCUCUGCCUAAUUUGCACAUUUGAAGUUCUCUCUCAAGUUUAGACAUAACUGUUAUAAUUUAAGGCUUUCUCUAGACCUAAACUUGUGGGAUGAAAACUUGAUCUGAAGUCUAAGUUGUUAACGGAUACGAUAUGGGAAGGUUGAGCUGUUGUUUAUCUGUUCCUAGAGAUGCUAGAAUUCUGGAGAAUUUUAUCUUUGAAAAAAAAUCUUUAAAAUGUUGCAUGAUGAGUUCCUGUAUGAUGAGAGUUUAAAUUCCUACCACAGCCAUAUAUACAUGCUUGCUAAACUUUGAGCCACACAUUUACUAUUUACUGCUUAUGAGCAUUGAGUGUGGUCAAGCUGUGUAGACCCUUAGGAGCUUGUCAUGUGGUUAAAUCAAGAUUUCACUUGCACGUUCACUCAUAUAUGCUACUUCUACUCCGGAAGUACCAUCCACAUAUAUCCACUCAUUUCCAUCUCCAGAAUCACCUAAAAAUAUUCUACUCCUAAUCCGGGAGAGAAUAGCCAAAAAUAUUUUUGUUUUUCCCUUGUGAAAUAAAUGCUCAAGUUAUCUUGUUACUACCACUUGCUACAUUAUUUCAAGAGAUGAGUGCUCUGAAAAAAAAAUGAGGAAAUAAAAAGGAGCAAGUGCUCGGAACCUCGAAAGAAAAGAAAAAGUGAGACGAGAGGUAAAAAUGGACAAGUGUUCUAUAGUAGAAUUAGGGGUACAAGAUACCCACCUGAGAGAAAAGAAAAAAAUAUAGAGCAUCUCAUUCUCCUCACAAAGUUUCAAAAAGCAAGAAAGGUAUGUAUCCCCUCAAAAGAGCAAAAGUAGAAUUAGACUUCCAUCACCAUUGUUUUCACCAUUGUUAUCACCAUCAUUACCAUACACCAUUCAUUCGCCACACAUGCACAUCUUGAUUUGACUUAUUGAUUUGUUUCUUUGGAUCCAUGGUUUGACUAUGCAAUAAAUGUCUUGUAAGUAUGUAUAUUUUAUCUCCCACCUAUGAGCUCCAGAUAUUAAAGCCUUAUUAGAGUAGGGUGAGAGAGAAGACAAUGUCACUAUGCUUUAUACCACAAAUACUACAUACUUGAGAGAAGGCAUAUACCAUCACUGCCUUGGUAAGGAUCCAGAAAUACCACAAAAGAGAGAUUUGAGAGAGUCAUACAAGGAAUCUCUGAGUUUUAUUUGAAAAUCUGCAAAAGCACUAGAGCUAUAGCUGAUCAAGAAUAAGAGACAUGGCACUUGACUAGACUGUUCUAUCUUUUAACUACUCAAGACAGAAGUGACGGUUACAAGUCCCAUGGUAAAGGUAAAGUAGGUAAGUUUUAAGUCUUGACAGUUUACUCUAACUCAGAGAUGAGAUCUUAUUUAAAAAGCAUGUGUACUGUCAAUUUUUAAAGAUAUUGCAACAACUUAUGAUCCAUAGCUGAGUCUAUCCUUGCUCAGGGACGAGCAAGAGGUAAGGUUGGGGGAGUUUGUUGAUGGUCCUUAAGUAUCAAAUUUAAAUAUCAAAUAAACAAAGAAAAGGAUCCAAAUGAAAUCAACAUCUAGACUUAGGGUUUUAUCUGACAGAAUUCCACGAGUUUCGGUGUUUGUCUAUUUCUGCAGGGGGUUAUGAGGAUAUACGGAAGAAAGGCCCACACGUCGGGAUUACAUAGAGAUAUUAACGUGCCGCGCAAUUAUCUCACAUCUAGAAGACUCCAGAAGCCACGAGACCGAAGCAGAGGCGAAACGGGGCCAGAGGCAGGGUGCCCGCCCUGUUCCCUUGGGCGCCCGCCCCCUCCCUGAGUCCAAUCAGGACUCUGCUUCGUGGGAGAUCUCCACCGACCUAAAGGAUGAAUCUAAACCAUACAAUCUAUGUCGGUUUGAUCCAACGGCCCAUAUUCACUUGAAGGGACUAUAAAACCAGACCUCCUGGCCCCUGGAGGAGGGAGCCUCUCAACCCUAAUUCAUUGUUCUUCAAGGGAGAAGAAGACUCUGAUCAAGAUUAGAGCCACCACAUCAAUUAGAUAUCUAGAUUAGCAUAGCUACAUAGGAUUAGAACUAGAAGGAGUCAAUCUUCGAUUGGUUUCCGGAUCUGUCAAGAGGAUUCUUGGUAAUUCUAUAAUUGUGCUUCUAAUUGCUUUAUAAUUAUCUUUGUUCUUCAAUAUUAUGAAUAUGACUUUGUUCUACUUCAAUAUAUUGCUUAUGACUUUGCUCUACUUGCUUAUAUUCAAGAUUAUAUUGUUCUUAGUUUAUCAUAGUUAUGUACUUGGCUUAGUUAGAUUGGAUUUAUAUACAUGCUUAGGAUCGUAUAGCGUUUAUCCAUCGGAUCCAUGGGUAAAUGAUAGAUAUUGUGUAGGUGUGGUGCUUAUACCGUAUUUAUCUCUGAUUGUACCCAA